Molecule: non-coding RNA, 46 nt
Filed under: Trichobilharzia regenti
Lineage: Eukaryota; Metazoa; Platyhelminthes; Trematoda; Strigeidida; Schistosomatidae
Source: RNAcentral
GUACUUCUGAAGAGUCCCAAACUAGGAUGAAACAGCUGUCUAGCAC